Long non-coding RNA from Mytilus trossulus (common blue mussel), 481 nucleotides. RefSeq lists it as uncharacterized. The transcript is spliced from 3 exons. Lineage: Eukaryota; Metazoa; Mollusca; Bivalvia; Mytilida; Mytilidae. The record is from RefSeq and is a predicted model, not a curated record.
ACGUACAAAGUAGGACCUUAUUUGUAUAAAUACUUACGAUUUUUAUUUAGUUUCAACAUACAUUGUAUACCAAAGAAAUAUAAACAUGAGAAAUUUCGCUUUACUUUGCGUGUUUAUGUUGACAUUUGAUGUAAACGCUCAACUAUCAUACAAUCCGAUAACCCUCAGUGAGAAUUAUUUAAAUAGAGGGUGUCCUAUUCUUAACUGCCCGUACAUAUCAUGUCCUUCUAGAUGUAAAAUGCCAACAUUGUUCCGAUACAAUGGGAGACUUUGUAGAGGCUGUCAUAUAAAUAUAUGUUCAUCAUACAUACAACCCAUAGACAUGGAUAUUGGAUCCACGCAGUAAACUUUCUAGCCUCGACGAGUCCAGUGUACUAACCAAAUGAUUGUGUGAAAUCCAUAAAUGCUGCCAUAAACUAUUUAUUAACAUAUUUGCUUUGUUUUAAUUUGUCAUUUUUAAUAAAUUAUUUUUAUACUUUCA